AUUAAAACGCAUCAGUACAUUUUAAAAUGCCUCAUUGAAAUUGCUGCUGUUAGUAAGAAAGAGAAUUAAUAUUUCCUGAGGCCUGAGGAUAGGGAUCCAGAAAAAGGUUUGCAAUUACUGUUCUGGGAGACAAGAAUGGGAGGGAAUAACUGAGAAUGUCCACAGAGCAGAAAUCAAGUACCAAAAUUCCACCAAUGACUCUGAAGUCCACUGAAAACCUUCAAGCUGGAGGUAAGAAGCAAUAUAUGACUCUUUGAGAAAGAAGUUGGUCUCAUCCAUCUUAAAAGGAGCAAGCUAUGGAACCUACCUUGGAUGGAUAAAACAUGAAUAAGCAGACAAUGGCUAAUGUUCCCACCUUCAGCAAGGUGUUCAAGUGGCUAGAUACUGGCCACCUCUAAGCACUCAAGAAUGAAAUUUAUUUUCUUCAUGCAUGUUAAUUAUAUUUUAGGUCUGGUUUGGAGCAGGAAGAGAAACUUCUCUGUAUUCCCUACAGGGUGACCUUUGUCAAAUGAGAAAUGAGUGGAGUUUGAUUAUGCUAAUUAUCUUGGCCUUGCAGCUACUUUGAAUACCAUCAGCCUUCGUAUUUGUCUGAAUAAACUGUGUUGGGAGGUUCA
This 614-nucleotide long non-coding RNA is filed under the name Pogona vitticeps (central bearded dragon). RNAcentral's name for it is "lncRNA (ENSPVIG00000012626.1)". The record is from RNAcentral. Lineage: Eukaryota; Metazoa; Chordata; Lepidosauria; Squamata; Agamidae.